CGACACUGCGGGAGCAUGUAGCAAAGGUGUAAAGAGACCGUGAAGAAUUUGGAAGCAGGAAAGUAAAAGAGGUCUCUCUUCUCAGCUGUUUUUAACCAAUAGCAAGGACAGAUCCUGAGCCCCAGUUCUCAGAAAGCAAAUAUGGCUACAAUGGGCUUCACCCCAGCCACAGAAUGAAAAGUCAACAGCUCCUGCAAGGUGAACUACCUUAUGCUGCCAUCAUGAUUGGAAAACUUUCUUGUGUAUCAGAGGAGAUACUACCGUGGCAGAAGAAACAGGUACUGUCUAGACCCAUUUCCUGCAGCUUAUAAAUAUCUGUGCUCAUGAUUCCCAGGAAUCAUCCUAUUGCCUGAGACCAGAUGAAGGUUUGGCAUUGACUGAACCAUCUCUGCAGGCUUUAACCUUUUCCACCAACAGAAUCAGAAAGGAACGAUAGCAAGC
This 441-nucleotide long non-coding RNA is filed under the name Calidris pugnax (ruff). RNAcentral's name for it is "lncRNA (ENSCPUG00000002134.1)". Lineage: Eukaryota; Metazoa; Chordata; Aves; Charadriiformes; Scolopacidae. The record is from RNAcentral.